CUCACAUUGUCACAGUGCAGCUUCUUGCUCAUUUAACACAAGACUCUGUGACAUAUCAGACACGUGGUUGUGCUUAGAGAACUUGGUCAUGCCAGGCUCCAUUCACCUGCACCAAAAAACAGCUCUUCAUGUCCACAAAUAGGUUUGGAGCCUUCACAGCAAGAGCAGAUUUUUUUUUUUCCUGUGUGAGCCACAGCCAGCAUGCCAGACCUGCAGAAAUCCUGUGAACAUUCCAGCACCAGCCUGGACCCCUGUGGAGCCCAUCUCAGCCUUCUGACCAUUUUCCCUGUUAACUUUUAGAGACCCCUGAGGAGCAGUUUGCAAGGCCCCAAAAGAGGCACGAGCUAUAAAGCACUGUUCUCUGUGCUCCAGAGCCCAUUUACAGCUGCCUCAGGUCUGCCCUGGCUCUGAAAGACAUGGAGGCUGCUCAAUGUACCCCACACUCUGCCUGAGCUUUGAGCCUUCCUCCCACAGUGCCCAUAGACCACGACUCCACUGCAAUGAUACUGAAAAACACAGGACUAAAACUCAGUUGUUUGCCUCAAUUACUCACAGCCUAAGUAGUUUUUCUAUAGCAAGGAACAUUUCAGUUCAUAGAAGCCUCUAUUUUCCUCAGCUGCACUGAAGCAAUUCUGACCCUGCCUGAUUUUCCUGAUCACUUUCUACAUUUCCCCCAUGCCCCUGAAGCACAUGGAGAGUCCCUCAGCUUUUCAGACAUCACCUCCAAGCACAGAAGCAAAGUAAGGAAAAAUCAGCCUGCUGGUUCUGAUGGCUCAUGGAUCAGAGCUUUGUGUCCCUGCUCUGCACCUCAGUUCCCAGGGCCAAGGAGCCAUCCCAGAACUCCCAGCCCCCAUUAAUGCCUGCAGAACUUAAAGAUUUGCAGAGUUUACUUGCAAAGCCUUUUAGAAGCAGAGAUGAGUAAACAAGAGUGAAAAGUUAAACAAAGGAAAUACAUUUAUGCUUGUACUGUUUUCAAGUUUAUGCAAACAACCCAUUUCUAAAGCUGUCACUGACAGUCCUGGCACGUUCUCAUUCCCCAGCUCAGAGUCAUGUUGGAAACUGAAAUCACAAGCAUUUCUGAGAUGCUUUGGGCAAAAUACCUCCCUCAGCUCCACCAGCUGAAAAUCAGUGAAAUUGGCUGUGGCUACAGAGCCAUGGCAACAUCCUUGUGCCAUGAUUCUGGAAGAAGAGGGAGAAGAGUCUGAACUUCUCUGGCCACAGCAGCUGUGGAAGAAACUGGAAUAGAGUUAUCCAAAUGAGUUAUGAAGAGAUCAAUUGAAGAAAUAACAGCAGGAAACCAUCAAGCAGAGAAAGAAUUAGAAAAUACUGUUUUUUAGCUGGUCAGGCAGUAAGUGGAGCUGCCAUAAAUGUAACAUUUUGCUCAUGGCUUUACCGAGGAAAGGAGACAUGGAGAGCCCGCUCUCCACCAGCACAGCUCACCACGCUCCACGCAGGAAGGGAGAACUCUCUGCAAAGGGUCAGCAAAGCCACAGCUUCCCAAACCACGUCUCAAGAAGUGGCAUAUAGGUUUGUUUCAAAGGGAAAAAGCGUGCACAAGCUCUGCUUCAGCUGGAAGACAGCACAGUUGCCAUUCUGACGCCUCCUCACGCUCUUCCCUCCAUUCAGCUGCACGGGACAGCACGUUUAACAGCUGAUCCAUCUGGAGCAAAGCCUACAAAGUUAAUUUCUAGCUUUGAGAUGGUUACUGGUAAUUGUAGGUAAUUUCAAAUAUAAUUGCAAUCGAGUUGAAAAAGCUCUGUUUGCAGUGUUUAUGCUCAUCACUCUAAUUUAAGACCUAGAAAGCUGGAUAUGCUGCUCUUCAAAUACACACCCAUUUUUCAUCUUCCUGAUUUUACCACGAGCGAUCAUAAAAACAGCCCCAGCAAACCACAGUCUGCAAUGCAAGGCAAAUGUUUGAGAAGCUGCAUAUAAAGUUUCAAGCAAAGCUGCUUGAAGGUUAACGACAGAACAUGUUAAUGAUUAUCAAAUAGACAAGGAAAGCCGCAGAGAGCUUCCAACACAGAAAUGCAAGAGACCCUCAAAAUAAAUGGUGGCUAACCUUGUUUGGAAUAAUACUU
Molecule: long non-coding RNA, 2078 nt
Organism: Cyanistes caeruleus (blue tit)
Lineage: Eukaryota; Metazoa; Chordata; Aves; Passeriformes; Paridae
Source: Ensembl